This is a non-coding RNA of Momordica charantia (bitter melon), 1071 nucleotides long. The record is from RefSeq and is a predicted model, not a curated record. NCBI's taxonomy places the organism in Eukaryota, Viridiplantae, Streptophyta, Magnoliopsida, Cucurbitales, Cucurbitaceae.
CUAAACGUCGAUCCCACCACUGGUGCUCCUGCUGGAGGAAAGCAGCAAAAACCCCAUCACCUGCUUAUCCACUCCCCUCCCUGCAAAUCUGCAGCUCCAUUUCUUCAUUCCCAUGUCCAAUUAACAACAGCAGCUUGAGAGAACUUUUGUCUCUUCUUCUCUAAUUCAUCGGCUAUAGAGACUUGAAUUGCUUGUUGUGCUCGUAGGGCUUUCCUCUCCAAUCUUUCUUCUCAGAAUUCUACUGCUCUCAUGUCUCCUUCCUUCGCCACGAGAGUCUGAAAGCAAGCUCGCUAUUUGGGGAGUCAUUAAGGCAAGUUCCCAAGUCAUCGAUAAAGGUGGCAUCAAGGCCAAAGAGUUCUCCCCCUAAAACCAGAUGUGAGAUUUGUGAUAAUCUGGUGAGUGCAUCUGUGGUAAUGCCUGCAAGGUGUUUGUGAUAUUGGUUGUUUGAAUAUUUGAGGAGUUUGUGAUUGUAGGAGGUGUUUCUCACCAAAGCAACCACAGAUAAGGGAUUGAUCAAAAUGAUGAUGUGUAUGGGAGAAGCUCUAAGGACCAUUUCCUUCAAGGUUAGAACGGCUUCUUAUGGAGGAACUGAGUGUGUCAACUCCUUUGGAGAUGAACAACUUGUUGUCAAUAUGCUUGCCGUCAAGCUUCUGUUUGAGGUCUUUCACGAACUCAAAGAAGUCGACAACUAGAAAUGCAACUAAUUGGUGGAUGAGCUUCUUUGUUGGGGUUGGGUUGAAAGCUGAGAACCGGAGCAUGAGGUAAGCGUUGAGCCCAGAAAGCUGUUGUCAAAGCACAGUUGAGCCUGAGCAAGUAGAAGUUGGAGCAAUUAAGUGCUUGAGCAUAGAUUCACAGUGUAAUAAUUAUCCCACACGGGGAUAUUUUACCAUGCCCGUACAAUUACCACCUAGGUGCCCUAAAAUUGGGACCCGAUAUAAAAGGGACAGAAUGACCUAGCCGAUAUACGCAGAUCCCAAUAGAGAAUAUUUUAUGUGUUGGAAAAGGCAAGGGAGAGGAAUUUUCACCAUUUUCGGAAGGAGAACUGGCGACAGAGAGAGCUGUUGCUGUCAU